AAACGCACCUACUUGUAGGUGUCUGACGGUACCGUCAGAAUAAAGACCGGCUAACUCCGUGCCAGCAGCCGCGGUAAUACGGAGGGUCCGAGCGUUAUCCGGAAUCAUUGGGUUUAAAGGGUCCGUAGGCGGGCCUGUAAGUCAGGGGUGAAAGUUUGUGGCUCAACCAUAAAAUUGCCUUUGAUACUGCAGGUCUUGAGUCAUGGUGGGGUCAGCCAGAACAUGUGGUGUAGCGGUGAAAUGCAUAGAUAUCACAUAGAACACCGAUCGCGAAGGCAGGUGACCAACCAUGUACUGACGCUGAUGGACGAAAGCGUGGCGUAGCGAACGGGAUUAGAUACCCCGGUAGUCCACGCCGUAAACGAUGGAUACUAGCUGUGGGGACUUCAGUCUCCGUGGCCAAGCGAAAGUGAUAAGUAUCCCACCUGGGGAGUACGUUCGCAAGAAUGAAACUC
RNAcentral lists this ribosomal RNA (455 nucleotides) under uncultured bacterium. RNAcentral's name for it is "bacterial SSU rRNA". It matches the Rfam family "Bacterial small subunit ribosomal RNA", at positions 448 to 902 of the family's 1533-position model. The record is from RNAcentral.